RNAcentral lists this ribosomal RNA (253 nucleotides) under uncultured bacterium. RNAcentral's name for it is "partial 16S ribosomal RNA". It matches the Rfam family "Bacterial small subunit ribosomal RNA", at positions 524 to 776 of the family's 1533-position model. The record is from RNAcentral.
UACGUAGGUGACCAGCGUUGUCCGGAUUUACUGGGCGUAAAGAGCGCGCAGGCGGUCGUUCAAGUCGAGUGUGAAAGCCCCCGGCUCAACUGGGGAGGGUCACUCGAUACUGAUCGACUUGAAGGCAGGAGAGGGAAGCGGAAUUCCCGGUGUAGAGGUGAAAUUCGUAGAUAUCGGGAGGAACACCAGUGGUGAAGGCGGCGAUCUGGGUCGAUACUGACGCUGAGGUGCGAAAGCGUGGGGAGCAAACAGG